This is a long non-coding RNA of Antechinus flavipes (yellow-footed antechinus), 498 nucleotides long. RefSeq lists it as uncharacterized. The transcript has 3 exons. Lineage: Eukaryota; Metazoa; Chordata; Mammalia; Dasyuromorphia; Dasyuridae. The record is from RefSeq and is a predicted model, not a curated record.
AGCAGCAAACACGCAGUGGACUUCAGUACCCCGCUGCAGCAAAGAUUUCUCUCCAGCAAACAGCCGGUGAAGCUAGAAAGCCCAAGAGAGGAAUGAGAUUCAUCUUGGUGGGAGCAUAUAUACAGCAAUCAAGUGGCAAUAGCAUUGUCAUGAGUUUGUUGGUCAUUCAUUUAGGGAGAAUUGGAUUCAGAAGGUGUAAGAGGCUCUGGACCUGAACCUCCUGGAGUGAGUUGAGGAUUCCUUUGUGUCAGGACCCACCCUAACCCAGGAUUCCUGGAUUACCACGCUAACAAUGCUGAAGUGGUGGAACCUGGCCCGUGGCGGGGGAAGCACAGAAAGGAUGGGCUCCUCCUUCGGGGAGGGAUUGGGGAGGAGUCUCUCCCCAGAUUGAUGAACGACAGGUGGAGGGAAAAGAACUAUAAAAGGAAUGGACACGGGACGGUUUGCGGGAGACACCACUGACUUGUAACAUCAAUAAACAUCAUUGCGUUCUAUCUA